ACGAACCGUCCAAACGUUAUUCGGAAUCACUGGGCUUAAAGGGUGCGUAGGCGGUCCGGGAAGUUGGGUGUGAAAGCCCUCGGCUCAACCGAGGAAUUGCGUCCAAAACUGCCGGGCUGGAGGGAGACAUAGGUGAGCGGAACUUAGGGUGGAGCGGUGAAAUGCGUUGAGAUCCUAAGGAACACCAGUAGCGAAAGCGGCUCACUGGGUCUCUUCUGACGCUGAUGCACGAAAGCCAGGGGAGCGAAGAG
RNAcentral lists this ribosomal RNA (251 nucleotides) under uncultured prokaryote. RNAcentral describes it as "partial 16S ribosomal RNA". It matches the Rfam family "Bacterial small subunit ribosomal RNA", at positions 525 to 775 of the family's 1533-position model. The record is from RNAcentral.